Molecule: small nucleolar RNA, 106 nt
Organism: Cucurbita moschata (crookneck pumpkin)
Lineage: Eukaryota; Viridiplantae; Streptophyta; Magnoliopsida; Cucurbitales; Cucurbitaceae
Product: Plant small nucleolar RNA R71
Exons: 1
Source: RefSeq, a predicted model, not a curated record
AGUUCAUGGUGAGGACACUUUCUAAGCAUCUUCUUGAACCUAUCCCAAGCUUCAUUUAACGUUUCAUCAUCAAAUUGCUGAAAAGCAAUAGCUUCAUUUAUCAACC